Molecule: long non-coding RNA, 1295 nt
Filed under: Heterocephalus glaber (naked mole-rat)
Lineage: Eukaryota; Metazoa; Chordata; Mammalia; Rodentia; Bathyergidae
Description: lncRNA (ENSHGLG00100043638.1)
Source: RNAcentral
CCCGGCGGCCCUGCGUGCUGAGUCUGUCUCGCCCUGGUCUGACUUUGCCUGUCGUGCUCUUUCCUCUUUCCUUACCUGCACUCCCUUCUUGCUCCUUCCGCGUUUCCUCUCCUGCUCCCCUUUCUCUGCGACCCCCUUCUUGAUACCCCUUUCUCUAGCUCACCAGUUUCUUUUUCCCAAUAGAUUCCAUCUCCCCACCCCCUGCGCUCGCUCGGAAAGGCUGGGCUUCUCGGGUCUAGGACCUAGGUGGGGGGUUUCUUCCCCACGUCGGGGACCCCGGCACUCCUGUCCCCGGUUUCAAAUCAACUUUUCCACCUCUGUCACAGGGGCAGAGUUUCAGGAGAUCCUUGCUGCCUUCUGGACCGGACCCCGAACCUUCAGUUCCAGGCCUCCUGGAAGGCAGUGCAGCAAAGGGUUUAAAAACACAGGUCAGAACCUCUCCCAGCAAGGGUGGCCGGCUGUUGAGCGACCUCUAUGCCAUGAUCAGGAAAGCACCUUGGGAGUAGAAUCAACCUAUGAGAAAGAAAGGUGGCAGGAGACUGAAUGAACCGCUGCAAAUAUAAGGGUCUCACUGUGUAGUUCAGGCUGGCCUUGGACUCACUGCAUAGCCCAGGUGGGCCUCGAUCUCUUGGGAAUCCUCCUGCUUCAGCCUCCUGAGUGCUGGGAUUACAGGCAUACACCACCAUGCCCGGCUCAAUUUGUGAAUUUUUUAACGGAGUUUUCUGUUUAAUAUUCUUGAAUAUCAGUUGACUUUGGGUAACUGAAACUGCAGAAAAUGAGAGGGAAAAUGUGAGGGACAAAAAUAUUUGGCUGCAUGAUCGAUAUACCCUUAUUGUCUACUCUGUGAUUUUUAAACUAUGGGGAUUUGUUAAAAAUGCAAAGUCUCUGUAACACCUCCAAGCUACAGAAUCCAAAACUCAGGGUGGGACCCAACCAUCUGUGUUUUAGCAGGCACUCUAGGUGGUUUUCAUGCCUCUCAAUUUGGAGAUUCCUUGCCUUCAAUUUGAGAAACCAAGGUUAUUUUUACUUCUUACACGUGACUAACCAAGGUAAAGGGCAAGUGACGUGCGUUCUAAAAGUUUAGAAUAGCAAAUGACACAAUUUUGUAUAUGUAAAUGUUUCUGUAUUUUAUAUAUAAACUUCAUAUGUGUAUAUGUACUUAUGUAUUACAUACUGUAUGCAUAAACAUGUGAAUAUACCUUGUAAACUACCAUGCAAUUUAAAGAUUCUGUUCUUUUGAGAGUUUCUUUUCUGCUUUGCACUCAGAACUAAUUAAUCAAGGGACAAAGAACCAG